Lacerta agilis (Sand lizard) is the source of this 605-nucleotide long non-coding RNA. RefSeq lists it as uncharacterized. Lineage: Eukaryota; Metazoa; Chordata; Lepidosauria; Squamata; Lacertidae. The transcript has 2 exons. The record is from RefSeq and is a predicted model, not a curated record.
CACACACAAAAUGAGUCAGGUUUAGUUGGACACACAGCUCAGAUUUCUGAAGCUGGAGUGGAAAGCAGCAUGCUCAGGGCUAGCCACCAGCUGGAUUGCUUGGGUGCUUACAAGCGGGACAAUCUUUUUCUGAAGCUUUGAUGGGAGGUCUAGGAAGGACAAAGCCUGGCCUGGCUUCUUGUCACCAGCUUGAGGGCUUGAUGCUGCUACCUGGUGCUGUCCUUAAGGCCUGCAUCCUUCCCACCUGCCUUCCUUGGCACCUUCUCCGCUGCCAGGGGGUUUUGUCUGCUGAAGUUUCCCCGGCCUAAGCACCGAGAGAGGUUCCUUUGAAAAGGCAGCUGAGGAGAGAGACCAUCCACCUGAAACGCGGGAGGCGGAAAUCGUACACUCAGUACAACUCUCUUUAUCCCUUUUGUCUGGGAACUACAAAAAGAGAGAGAGAGAGUCUUGUUUUGUACACCUUUCAGAGCUCCACAGGCUGGCAUUCAUUCAUUUCGGGCCAUUUUCAUGAGUGAUGCUUAAAUCAGGUCUCGCAUUUCUUGUGUCUGUAAAUGGAAUUAAAACCUACAUUGACUGGAAAAUGUACAUUUGGUUAAAAAAAAGUA